Molecule: non-coding RNA, 685 nt
Filed under: Sinella curviseta
Lineage: Eukaryota; Metazoa; Arthropoda; Collembola; Entomobryomorpha; Entomobryidae
Source: RNAcentral
GAAAAGUUUGAUUCUAGCUUUAGUUUUUAUAGUUUUAAUUUUGUACAUGUAAAAUUAGGCAGUAUUUUGUAUUAUAAAAAUUGCAAUAAGAUAUAAAAUUUAAAUUUAUAUUAGGAUAAAGAUGUGCCAGCAUCUGCGGUUAGACUUCAUAGUUAAAUUAAAAUUUAUGGAUAAAUAAUUUUUAAGACUUAAAAAUUAUUUACUUUAUGGUUUGUGAAAUUUUGUGAAGUAUAUUAUUUUAAAAAGCUUAGUUCUUAUAUUGUAAUUGGAAUUUAAAAGACCAGGAUUAGAUACCCUGUUAUUUUCAUUAAAUGACUUAAGUAGUAGUUUUUAUGAAACUUAAAUAAUUUGGCGGUAGCUUAUUCCUUCCAGAGGAACUUGCCCUUUAAAUGACAGUACACGCUUAUUUUUACUUUUAUUUAUUUUAUAUACCGUUGUUUUAAAAAUUAAAUUAAUAUUUAGUUUUAAUUUUUAUUAAAAAAAUUCAAAUCAAGGUUUAGUUUAUAUAAAAGAAGAGGUGAGUUACAUUAUAAAAUUAUAUGGAUUGUUGAAACUGGAUUUGGAAGUAAUUUGGUUUUAUUAUUUAUUUGAAUUAGGCUCUAGGUUAUGUACACAUCGCCCGUCGCUCUAGUUAUGAAAUUAGAUAAGUCGUAACAAAGUAGACGCUCCGGAAGGAACAUCUUGU